This 497-nucleotide ribosomal RNA is filed under the name uncultured bacterium. RNAcentral's name for it is "partial 16S ribosomal RNA". It matches the Rfam family "Bacterial small subunit ribosomal RNA", at positions 28 to 507 of the family's 1533-position model. The record is from RNAcentral.
GAUGAACGCUGGCGGCGUGCCUAAUACAUGCAAGUCGAGCGAACGGACGAGAAGCUUGCUUCUCUGAUGUUAGCGGCGGACGGGUGAGUAACACGUGGAGAACCUACCUAUAAGACUGGGAUAACUUCGGGAAACCGGAGCUAAUACCGGAUAAUAUUUUGAACCGCAUGGUUCAAAAGUGAAAGACGGUCUUGCUGUCACUUAUAGAUGUAUCCGCGUUGCAUUAGCUAGUUGGUAAGGUAACGGCUUACCAAGGCAACGAUGCAUAGCCGACCUGAGAGGGUGAUCGGCAAAAUUGGAACUGAGACACGGUCAAGACUCCUAGGGGAGGAAGCAGUAGGGAAUCUUCCGCAAGGGGCGAAAGCCUGACGGGGCAAGGCCGCGUGAGUGAUGAAGGUCUUCGGAUCGUAAAACUCUGUUAUUAGGGAGGAACAUGUGUGUAAGUAACUGUGCACAUCUUGACGGUACCUAAUCAGAAAGCCACGGCUAACUACGUG